RNAcentral lists this ribosomal RNA (253 nucleotides) under uncultured bacterium. RNAcentral's name for it is "partial 16S ribosomal RNA". It matches the Rfam family "Bacterial small subunit ribosomal RNA", at positions 524 to 776 of the family's 1533-position model. The record is from RNAcentral.
GACAGAGGAGGCGAGCGUUAUCCGGAUUCAUUGGGCGUAAAGGGUACGUAGGCGGCUAGUCAAGUCUGAGGUUAAAGACCACAGCUCAACUGUGGGAAGGCCUUGGAAACUGACUGGCUAGAGUGGGGCAGGGGUUGCGGGAAUUCCCGGUGUAGCGGUGAAAUGCGUAGAUAUCGGGAAGAACACCUGAGGCGAAAGCGCGCAACUGGGCCCUCACUGACGCUGAGGUACGAAAGCUAGGGGAGCGAAUGGG